RNAcentral lists this ribosomal RNA (300 nucleotides) under uncultured Streptomyces sp. RNAcentral's name for it is "bacterial SSU rRNA". It matches the Rfam family "Bacterial small subunit ribosomal RNA", at positions 114 to 416 of the family's 1533-position model. The record is from RNAcentral. Lineage: Bacteria; Bacillati; Actinomycetota; Actinomycetes; Kitasatosporales; Streptomycetaceae.
CACGUGGGCAAUCUGCCCUGCACUCUGGGACAAGCCCUGGAAACGGGGUCUAAUACCGGAUAUGACCGUCUGCCGCAUGGUGGAUGGUGUAAAGCUCCGGCGGUGCAGGAUGAGCCCGCGGCCUAUCAGCUUGUUGGUGAGGUAGUGGCUCACCAAGGCGACGACGGGUAGCCGGCCUGAGAGGGCGACCGGCCACACUGGGACUGAGACACGGCCCAGACUCCUACGGGAGGCAGCAGUGGGGAAUUUUCCGCAAUGGCGAAGACCUGACGGAGCAAUACCGCGUGAGGGAGAGACGGC